RNAcentral lists this ribosomal RNA (341 nucleotides) under uncultured Geobacillus sp. RNAcentral describes it as "bacterial SSU rRNA". It matches the Rfam family "Bacterial small subunit ribosomal RNA", at positions 1040 to 1382 of the family's 1533-position model. Lineage: Bacteria; Bacillati; Bacillota; Bacilli; Caryophanales; Anoxybacillaceae. The record is from RNAcentral.
GGUGCAUGGUUGUCGUCAGCUCGUGUCGUGAGAUGUUGGGUUAAGUCCCGCAACGAGCGCAACCCUCGCCUCUAGUUGCCAGCAUUCGGUUGGGCACUCUAGAGGGACUGCCGGCGACAAGUCGGAGAAGGUGGGGAUGACGUCAAAUCAUCAUGCCCCUUAUGACCUGGGCUACACACGUGCUACAAUGGGCGGUACGAAAGGGCUGCGAACCCGCGAGGGGGAGCGAAUCCCAAAAAGCCGCUCUCAGUUCGGAUUGCAGGCUGCAACUCGCCUGCAUGAAGCCGGAAUCGCUAGUAAUCGCGGAUCAGCACGCCGCGGUGAAUACGUUCCCGGGCCUU